GCUGGAAAUUCUGCCAGCGUAACGGCGACGUUACGGGCCGUAUUUCGUGUUACGGUCCGUAACAGUGGACCGUAACGUCCCGAAAAUUUCCAGAAACUCACUGGAAAUUUUCACCAAGAUACGGUACCAAGUUACGGUCCGUAUCUCGUGUUACGGGACCGUAACAGUGACCGUAUCUUGGUCCGUAUAUACGUUUCGGGUCACCUGACUUCGGGAGGCCAUAACCCUAUCAUAACUUGGGAAUUUGGGAAAACUCAAAGAACGAAAGUUGUAGAUAAUUGAAAAACCUUUCCAACCAUAGGUUGUGGGUUCACAGGAGACGUCGGGAUAAGGAGAUAUGGAUGUUUUAAGACAGCAAGGUCCCAACCCGUUUUCAAGUUGGGUCAACCCAUUUUCCCCUUGGUAUAUAAAGAAAAUAUUACCCUAACAGCCCAUUUUUCCUCCAAAACUCAGAUUUUAGAGAGAGGAAGUGAGAGAGAAGGGAAAUUAGAGAGAGAAAGUAGAAAAUCAACCAAGUUUAAGGCCCCGAAUCCCAAAGCUCGUGAAGGAAAAAGUGUAGUACAAGUCGUUGUCGUCAUUUUAAGCCCAAGAUCGGACUUGGGGGUGUUGAUUUCGUGGUGACUACCCAAAAGAUUGAAGUUGAAGGGGGUGAAGGACAUUGUGAUACGCCCAAAAGCGGAAGGUUAAGGUACUGAUAUACAGGACGACACAUCUGCUCAGUAGGACAGCAUUCGUAUCAGCUUAUUUGUGAGCCCCAUCUCAUUCGGGGUUUAGUCAACUUUUAUCUUAUGAUUAGUUAUGCAUCUAAAGGUAUGCUGGGGGCCUUGUCCCAGUAAGUAUGUUUUUCAGUCAGACUCAUGAUAGAGGUUUCAUAGACUAGAACAGACAGUUAUGUCAUGUCAGAUAAUCGAAGUCGCAUAGCCAUUUUGGCUCACUCAUGUUUAAACAAGUACUUUAUUAAGUAUUAUGACUUAUUAUGUUUUAUAAAGGCU
This is a long non-coding RNA of Lycium barbarum (goji berry), 992 nucleotides long. RefSeq lists it as uncharacterized. Lineage: Eukaryota; Viridiplantae; Streptophyta; Magnoliopsida; Solanales; Solanaceae. The record is from RefSeq and is a predicted model, not a curated record. The transcript has 3 exons.